This 96-nucleotide non-coding RNA is filed under the name Paenibacillus sp. RNAcentral's name for it is "c-di-GMP sequence". It matches the Rfam family "c-di-GMP-I riboswitch aptamer". Rfam says of the family: GEMM was predicted in a large-scale screen for bacterial structured RNA regulatory elements. Genes associated with GEMM are involved in a diverse array of functions, including chemotaxis regulation, signal transduction, secretion and chitin. Lineage: Bacteria; Bacillati; Bacillota; Bacilli; Caryophanales; Paenibacillaceae. The record is from RNAcentral. RNAcentral also lists the same sequence under 1 other name.
AUAAUAAUAGGGCACACUCGUUGAAAAACGGGGUCGCAAAACUACAGGGGCUAUCACAUGUCCAAUUUGGAUAUGUUAUGCCAGCCAGUUACCGAA